This 497-nucleotide ribosomal RNA is filed under the name uncultured bacterium. RNAcentral's name for it is "partial 16S ribosomal RNA". It matches the Rfam family "Bacterial small subunit ribosomal RNA", at positions 28 to 507 of the family's 1533-position model. The record is from RNAcentral.
GACGAACGCUGGCGGCGUGCCUAAUACAUGCAAGUAGAACGCUGAAGCGAGGAGCUUGCUCUUCUUGGAUGAGUUGCGAACGGGUGAGUAACGCGUAGGUAACCUGCCUUGUAGCGGGGGAUAACUAUUGGAAACGAUAGCUAAUACCGCAUAACAAUGGAUGACACAUGUCAUUUAUUUGAAAGGGGCAACUGCUCCACUACAAGAUGGACCUGCGUUGUAUUAGCUAGUAGGUGAGGUAAUGGCUCACCUAGGCGACGAUACAUAGCCGACCUGAGAGGGUGAUCGGCCACACUGGGACUGAGACACGGCCCAGACUCCUACGGGAGGCAGCAGUAGGGAAUCUUCGGCAAUGGGGGCAACCCUGACCGAGCAACGCCGCGUGAGUGAAGAAGGGUUUCGGAUCGUAAAGCUCUGUUGUAAGUCAAGAACGGGUGUGAGAGUGGAAAGUUCACACUGUGACGGUAGCUUACCAGAAAGAGACGGCUAACUACGUG